This 819-nucleotide ribosomal RNA is filed under the name Stemphylium vesicarium. Its description in RNAcentral is "LSU rRNA". It matches the Rfam family "Eukaryotic large subunit ribosomal RNA", at positions 81 to 919 of the family's 3401-position model. Lineage: Eukaryota; Fungi; Ascomycota; Dothideomycetes; Pleosporales; Pleosporaceae. The record is from RNAcentral.
UAGUAACGGCGAGUGAAGCGGCAACAGCUCAAAUUUGAAAUCUGGCUCUUUUAGGGUCCGAGUUGUAAUUUGCAGAGGGCGCUUUGGCUUUGGCAGCGGUCCAAGUUCCUUGGAACAGGACGUCACAGAGGGUGAGAAUCCCGUACGUGGUCGCUAGCUAUUGCCGUGUAAAGCCCCUUCGACGAGUCGAGUUGUUUGGGAAUGCAGCUCUAAAUGGGAGGUAAAUUUCUUCUAAAGCUAAAUAUUGGCCAGAGACCGAUAGCGCACAAGUAGAGUGAUCGAAAGAUGAAAAGCACUUUGGAAAGAGAGUCACACAGCACGUGAAAUUGUUGAAAGGGAAGCGCUUGCAGCCAGACUUGCUUGCAGUUGCUCAUCCGGGCUUUUGCCCGGUGCACUCUUCUGUAGGCAGGCCAGCAUCAGUUUGGACGGUGGGAUAAAGGUCUCUGUCACGUACCUCUCUUCGGGGAGGCCUUAUAGGGGAGACGACAUACCACCAGCCUAGACUGAGGUCCGCGCAUCUGCUAGGAUGCUGGCGUAAUGGCUGUAAGCGGCCCGUCUUGAAACACGGACCACGGAGUCUAACAUCUAUGCGAGUGUUUGGGUGUCAAGCCCGAUGGCGUAAUGAAAGUUAACGGAGGUCGAAACCCCCAAGGGGGCCCAUCGACGGAUCCUGAAGUUUUCGGAAGGAUUUGAGUAAAACCUUGCUUCUGGGAACUCGAAAGAUGGGGAACUAUGCUUGAAUAGGGGGAAAUCCAAAGAAGAUCCCGGGGAAGCUCCGAUUCGUUUCUAACGGCGAAUUCGAUCGCCAAAUUUGGGCUA